This 379-nucleotide ribosomal RNA is filed under the name uncultured bacterium. RNAcentral describes it as "bacterial SSU rRNA". It matches the Rfam family "Bacterial small subunit ribosomal RNA", at positions 29 to 390 of the family's 1533-position model. The record is from RNAcentral.
AACGAACGCUGGCGGCGUGGAUUAGGCAUGCAAGUCGAACGCGAAAGAGGGAGCAAUCCCUCAAGUAGAGUGGCGAACGGGUGAGUAACGCGUGAAGAACCUGCCUUCAACAGGGGGAUAACACUCCCAACGGGGUGCUAAUACCGCAUGAGACCACGGGUCCGCAUGGACCUGAGGUCAAAGGUGGCCUCUGCUUGCAAGCUACCGGUUGAAGAUGGCUUCGCGUCCCAUAGCUAGUUGGCGGUGUAAAAGACCACCAAGGCGACGAUGGGUAGCUGGUCUGAGAGGAUGGUCAGCCACACUGGGACUGAGAUACGGCCCAGACUCCUACGGGAGGCAGCAGUCGAGAGGCUUUGGCAAGUGGGGAAACCCUGACCAA